Long non-coding RNA from Gossypium arboreum, 632 nucleotides. RefSeq lists it as uncharacterized. The record is from RefSeq and is a predicted model, not a curated record. The transcript is spliced from 2 exons. NCBI's taxonomy places the organism in Eukaryota, Viridiplantae, Streptophyta, Magnoliopsida, Malvales, Malvaceae.
UAUUUCUCCAUCCCAUCUCUCUCCCUCCUUCUCCCAAUCAUUGCUCUCCCAUCCCUCUUCCUCUCCCCUCCUAACCCUCUCCCUUUAUUAACCCUUCAAUUAUAUUUUCAUUAAAAGAAUUAUUUCUCUCCUUUCUUUCUUAAACAUUAAUUCUUUGUCCCAUAGUUACCUUCAAAUCUAUCCGCCACAUGUUUGGGAAAAUGACCCUCAAGAAAUAAAUUUCAAGCCUGAAAUUGGUGUUUUCUUUUUUCAUGUACUGAAUUUGUUUCCUUACAAUAAGAUAGUAGAUGGAAGAUAACAAAGUCUCCAUUCGAAGAUCAAAGCAAACUGACUUGCUAGUUGUCUUUGGAGAGGGAGAGGGAGGGGAGAGCGGAGGUGAGGGAAGGAAAUAAAUUUUUAAUUGAUAUUAAUAUUAAUAUAAAAUUAUAAAAAGAAAGAAAUUAUGUCUUCAGUAGAUAUGCUUCUUCAUUAUCAUCCAAUCAAUUAAGUAGAUAUGCUUCUUCUUUAUCUGUUAAUCUUCAGUAGUUUCUAGUUAUGUCUUUCACCUGCAUCUUAUGAAUGAUGCAUUUGUAAUUAAUUGGAUUUGGUCAUAGCUGUACCGAGAUCAAUUCAACUAAAAGUUGAUGAUUUAA